This 495-nucleotide ribosomal RNA is filed under the name uncultured bacterium. Its description in RNAcentral is "partial 16S ribosomal RNA". It matches the Rfam family "Bacterial small subunit ribosomal RNA", at positions 28 to 507 of the family's 1533-position model. The record is from RNAcentral.
GAUGAACGCUGGCGGCGUGCCUAAUACAUGCAAGUAGAACGCUGAAGGAGGAGCUUGCUCUUCUGGAUGAGUUGCGAACGGGUGAGUAACGCGUAGGUAACCUGCCUGGUAGCGGGGGAUAACUAUUGGAAACGAUAGCUAAUACCGCAUGACAACAGUUAUUGCAUGAUAACUGUUUAAAAGGGGCAACUGCUCCACUACCAAAUGGACCUGCGUUGUAUUAGCUAGUUGGUGAGGUAACGGCUAACCAAGGCGACGAUACAUAGCCGACCUGCGAGGGUGAUCGGCCACACUGGGACUGAGACACGGCCCAGACUCCUACGGGAGGCAGCAGUAGGGAAUCUUCGGCAAUAGACGGAAGUCUGACCGAGCAACGCCGCGUGAGUGAAGAAGGUUGUCGGAUCGUAAAGCUCUGUUGUAAGAGAAGAACGAGUGUGAGAGUGGAAAGUUCACACUGUGACGGUAUCUUACCAGAAAGGGACGGCUAACUACGUG